Molecule: ribosomal RNA, 640 nt
Filed under: uncultured bacterium
Lineage: Bacteria
Description: bacterial SSU rRNA
Rfam family: Bacterial small subunit ribosomal RNA (bases 1-555)
Source: RNAcentral
CCUACGGGAGGCAGCAGUGAGGAAUAUUGCGCAAUGGGCGAAAGCCUGACGCAGCGACGCCGCGUGAAGGAUGAAGGUCUUCGGAUCGUAAACUUCUGUUAAGUGGGAAGAAAGACUCGUUUCUAAUAAAAACGAGGGAUGACAGUACUAUUAGAGAAAGCACCGGCUAACUUCGUGCCAGCAGCCGCGGUAAUACGAAGGGUGCUAGCGUUAUUCGGAAUCAUUGGGCGUAAAGGGCGCGUAGGCGGCCUGUUAAGUUUGCUGUUAAAUCUUUCGGCCUAACCGAAAACUGCAGCAAAAACUGAUAGGCUAGAGUGUAAGAGAGAGAAGUGGAAUUCUCGGAGUAGCGGUAAAAUGCGUAGAUCUCGAGAGGAACACCGAUGGCGAAGGCAGCUUCUUAGCUUACUACUGACGCUGAGGCGCGAAAGCGUGGGGAGCAAACAGGAUUAGAUACCCUGGUAGUCCACGCUGUAAACGAUGAUCACUAGAUGUUAGUUACUUGUCUUAGUACAGAGUUAGUGUCGUAGUACGUAACGACGUUAGUAGUAGUCCGCCGUCGGAGGUACGGUCGCGAGACGUAAACGUACGAACGAAGUAGUAGACGNGUAGAGAGCGACGACGACGACGACGGAGGGAGGAG